AGUGAACGCUGGCGGUAGGCCUAACGCAUGCAAGUCGAACGGCAGCACAGUAAGAGCUUGCUCUUACGGGUGGCGAGUGGCGGACGGGAGAGGAAUACAUCGGAAUCUACUUUUUCGUGGGGGAUAAGGUAGGGAAACUUACGCUAAUACCGCAUACGACCUACGGGUGAAAGCAGGGGAUCUUCGGACCUUGCGGGAUUGAAUGAGCCGAUGUCGGAUUAGCUAGUUGGCGGGGUAAAGGCCCACCAAGGCGACGAUCCGUAGCUGGUCUGAGAGGAUGAUCAGCCACACUGGAACUGAGACACGGUCCAGACUCCUACGGGAGGCAGCAGUGGGGAAUAUUGGACAAUGGGCGCAAGCCUGAUCCAGCCAUACCGCGUGGGGGAAGAAGGCCUUCGGGUUGUAAAGCCCUUUUGUUGGGAAAGAAAAGCAGCAGGUUAAUACCCCGCUGUUCUGACGGUACCCAAAGAAUAAGCACCGGCUAACUUCGUG
This 492-nucleotide ribosomal RNA is filed under the name uncultured bacterium. RNAcentral describes it as "partial 16S ribosomal RNA". It matches the Rfam family "Bacterial small subunit ribosomal RNA", at positions 29 to 507 of the family's 1533-position model. The record is from RNAcentral.